Molecule: long non-coding RNA, 689 nt
Filed under: Rattus norvegicus (Norway rat)
Lineage: Eukaryota; Metazoa; Chordata; Mammalia; Rodentia; Muridae
Description: long non-coding RNA NONRATT019016
Source: RNAcentral
UCCCUGUCAUGGGCUCCUCUGGAAAGUUUCAUCUGUAGAAAGUACAAGCAGCCGACACAGUGCGAUUGGAAUCUGGCUCAAUGUCUAUAGUUUUGGCAGUUUCCACACUACCUCAGAUUUCAACUUGUGUGAGUUUCUGGAGCCUCACUUUACCUGGAAAAUGGAGAUUAUGAUGUCUGCCUCUGGGGAGGGGGGGGCUCUUGGGGACUGCAGUGUACGAAGGAGCUGCUCAAAGUGACCCAUACUGUGGGGCCUCCUGAGCUUCACUGUCCAGUGCCACUCAUUCUUGGACUCGGUCUUGUCAGUCCCACAGAUCUGUGUCCCUGUCCCAAUCCCUGUACAGUUGUCAUGAACCUCACAGUUCUCUUGCCUGUGUGCUCCAACAGGAAGUGAGUAUUCUGGCAAUGCCUACAGCCACACCCCGUACGCCUCCUACAGUGAGGCCUGGCGCUUCCCCAACUCCAGCCUGCUGAGUUCCCCAUAUUAUUACAGCUCUACAACAAGGCCAAGCGCACCGCCCACCUCUGCCACGGCCUUUGACCAUCUGUAGUUGUCAUGGGGACAGUGGGAACAACCAGGCAACAGGAGGACUUGGCCUGAGACGGGCCCCAGAGAGUCACACAAAGGAAUCUUUAUUUAUUACAUGAAAAAUAACCACAAUUCCAGCAUUGCCGCUCACUCCCUGUGUG